This 467-nucleotide ribosomal RNA is filed under the name uncultured bacterium. Its description in RNAcentral is "partial 16S ribosomal RNA". It matches the Rfam family "Bacterial small subunit ribosomal RNA", at positions 29 to 507 of the family's 1533-position model. The record is from RNAcentral.
ACUAACGCUGGCGGCGUGCUUCACCCCUGCCUGUCGAACGGAAAGGCCCUGCUUUUGUGGGGUGCUCGCGUGGCGAACGGGUGAGUAACACGUGAGUAACCUGCCCUUGACUUUGGGAUAACUUCAGGAAACUGGGGCUAAUACCGGAUAGGAGCUCCUGCUGCAUGGUGGGGGUUGGAAAGUUUCGGCGGUUGGGGAUGGACUCGCGGCUUAUCAGCUUGUUGGUGGGGUAGUGGCUUACCAAGGCUUUGACGGGUAGCCGGCCUGAGAGGGUGACCGGCCACAUUGGGACUGAGAUACGGCCCAGACUCCUACGGGAGGCAGCAGUGGGGAAUAUUGCACAAUGGGCGGAAGCCUGAUGCAGCAACGCCGCGUGCGGGAUGACGGCCUUCGGGUUGUAAACCGCUUUCGCCUGUGACGAAGCGUGAGUGACGGUAAUGGGUAAAGAAGCACCGGCUAACUACGUG